RNAcentral lists this transfer RNA (91 nucleotides) under Massilia glaciei. Its description in RNAcentral is "tRNA-Ser". It matches the Rfam family "tRNA". From Rfam's summary of the family: Transfer RNA (tRNA) molecules are approximately 80 nucleotides in length. RNAcentral also lists the same sequence under 1 other name. The record is from RNAcentral. Lineage: Bacteria; Pseudomonadati; Pseudomonadota; Betaproteobacteria; Burkholderiales; Oxalobacteraceae.
GGAAAGGUGGCAGAGUGGUCGAAUGCACCGGACUCGAAAUCCGGCGUAGGAUUAUGUCCUACCGUGAGUUCGAAUCUCACCCUUUCCGCCA